RNAcentral lists this ribosomal RNA (500 nucleotides) under uncultured bacterium. RNAcentral describes it as "partial 16S ribosomal RNA". It matches the Rfam family "Bacterial small subunit ribosomal RNA", at positions 30 to 523 of the family's 1533-position model. The record is from RNAcentral.
AUUGAACGCUGGCGGAAUGCUUUACACAUGCAAGUCGAACGGCAGCACGGACUUCGGUCUGGUGGCGAGUGGCGAACGGGUGAGUAACAUAUCGGAACGUAUCCAAUAAUGGGGGAUAACGAGUCGAAAGAUUCGCUAAUACCUCAUACGCCCUACGGGGGAAAGCUGGGGACCUUCGGGCCUGGCGUUAAUGGAGCGGCCGAUAUCUGAUUAGCUAGUUGGUGAGGUAAAGGCACACCAAGGCGACGAUCAGUAGCUGGUCUGAGAGGACGACCAGCCACACUGGAACUGAGACACGGUCCAGACUCCUACGGGAGGCAGCAGUGGGGAAUUUUGGACAAUGGGCGCAAGCCUGAUCCAGCCAUUCCGCGUGAGUGAAGAAGGCCUUCGGGUUGUAAAGCUCUUUCGCAAGGGAAGAAAACUUAGCCACUAACAUUGGUUGAGGUUGACGGUACCUUGAUAAGAAGCACCGGCUAACUACGUGCCAGCCGCCGCUGUAA